GAGGAAGCGCAGUGGAGGCGGCAGCUACAGUGCGACAAGCCUCAUUCAAACCGGCCACUGGCGAUGACGCAGCAGCACGCUGUUCGCCCAGGAAGCCACCUCCGAGAGGUGCUGAAGAGUAUUCCAUUUCAAGGAUGUGCUACCAAUUCAAUUAAACUAUCCUGAAAGAGAAAGACUUGAGAUACUCGGCAAGUAUCAAAGCUCUGCAGAACUCUCAGACUCCAAGCAACAUGCCAAGUAUUGCAGAGGGUUGAAUAGCAUGGGGGUAUCAACCAGGCUAACCUGGAACUCUGCAUCACCAUGAAUGGCUACAUAGAUCAUUGGCCCACUCUAGCAUGGAGCAUUUGGAGACAAUCAGAGAGGCCAGAAGAGGGCAUCAGAUUCCUUGGAGCUAGAGGUCCAAGGGGUUUUAAGGGGUCCAAUGUGGGUGCUAGGAAUCAAACUUGGGUCUUCUAGAAGGGCAACAAGCUCUCUUAAUGGCUGAGCCCUCAUAUUAUCAAUUAAAAAAAUUAAGGUUACUUAUCAUAAACUUCUUUAAAAUUAUUUUUAUUUUAUGUGUACGAAUGUUUUGUCUGCAGACAAAUAACAUGCAUAUGCCUAGUUCCUUCAGGAACCAUAAGGAAGCUGUUGGAUUGGAGCUGGACCUAGAGAUGAGGUACAAUUCCGAGAAGGGAACUACCAUGUGGGUUUUGGGACCUGAACCUAGGUCUUCUUCUUUUGUUUUUUAUUAGAUAUUUUCUUUAUUUGCAUGUCAUAUGAUAUCUCCUUUCCCACUUUCCCCUCCAAAAAACAAAACAAAACAAAACAAAAAACAAAAAAUAAUAAGAACAAACCCCUGUUCCCUCCCUCCUCCCCCUCAACCUGGGUCUUCUUUAAGCGCAGCAACUGCUCAUCAUUUUUGAGCUUUCUAUCCAGCCCCACACUGCCAUUUGCUAAGGAAACUAUAUACCUUCUUCUGCUGUUCUCAUUCUUUCAUUUAGCUCUUCAUUUUCUUUUCUUAGUAUUUCAAUAUCU
Mastomys coucha (southern multimammate mouse) is the source of this 1014-nucleotide long non-coding RNA. RefSeq lists it as uncharacterized. NCBI's taxonomy places the organism in Eukaryota, Metazoa, Chordata, Mammalia, Rodentia, Muridae. The record is from RefSeq and is a predicted model, not a curated record. The transcript is spliced from 3 exons.